GCUGUUCAUCAAGCGGAGGAAAAGAAACCAACCGCGAUGGCCUCCGUAGCGGCGAGUGAGCGGCAAAAGCUCAAAUUUGAAAUCUGGUACUCAUUCGGUGUCCGAGUUGUAAUUUGGAGAGGGCAACUUUGGGGCCGGCUCCUUGUCUAUGUUCCUUGGAACAGGACGUCAUAGAGGGUGAGAAUCCCGUGUGGCGAGGAGUGCGGUUCUUUGUAAAGUGCCUUCGAAGAGUCGAGUUGUUUGGGAAUGCAGCUCUAAGUGGGUGGUAAAUUCCAUCUAAAGCUAAAUAUUGGCGAGAGACCGAUAGCGAACAAGUACAGUGAUGGAAAGAUGAAAAGAACUUUGAAAAGAGAGUGAAAAAGUACGUGAAAUUGUUGAAAGGGAAGGGCUUUUGAUCAGACUUGGUGUUUUGUGCCCUCUGCUCCUUGUGGGGGCGGGAAUCUCUUAUUUCACUGGGCCCGCUUCGGUUGUGGUGACAAGAUAAAUCCAUAGGAAUGUUGCUUGCCUCGUGUGUUAUUAUCGCCGGUGAGACUGCCGGCCUCUGGGACUGACGACUGCAAUGUACUUCAAGGAUGCUGGCAUAAUGGUUAUAUGCCGCCCGUCUUGAAACACCAACCAACA
Molecule: ribosomal RNA, 621 nt
Filed under: Saccharomyces sp.
Lineage: Eukaryota; Fungi; Ascomycota; Saccharomycetes; Saccharomycetales; Saccharomycetaceae
Description: partial large subunit ribosomal RNA
Rfam family: Eukaryotic large subunit ribosomal RNA
Source: RNAcentral